This 270-nucleotide unclassified non-coding RNA is filed under the name Hevea brasiliensis (rubber tree). Lineage: Eukaryota; Viridiplantae; Streptophyta; Magnoliopsida; Malpighiales; Euphorbiaceae. The record is from RNAcentral.
GGAUGAAGAUGGGAAUAUGAGAAUCUAUAGUUUUGAUAUUAGUGCUAAAAAUUGGACAAUUGUUUGGCAAGCUGUUAAUCAAUUAUGUACAAUACAUGGUACUUGUGGUACAAACUCUAUAUGCAUGUAUGAUGCUUCUACAACUCAAACUUCUUGUGUUUGUCCACCUGGUUUUAGGAAAGACACUAGUAAAUCUUGUGUGAGGAAAAUACCAUUGAUGACGAAAGAAUCGAAAUCUAGUAAGUAUUUACCUCUUGAUUUUGUUAGUUU